CCUAAAGGGAAACGCAGAAUCUCCGCCUCUCUAUACACAGACAAAGCUGUUAGAGUAGGGCAACAGUACCUGACAUUAACUCGAUGGCUCAAACCAAUCCAAGCAGAAAAGUUCACGACUGGUCGAGUCUUCAUCAAGAUAUUGUCGACUCGAUCGCCAAACGAAUAGUCUCUCGGGCAGAUUUGAUUGCUUUUGCCGCAGUUUGUAAAGCAUGGAGAUCAGCCGCCAUCAAAGAAUACUUUACCAGCCGAUCAACACUGAAAUCUCCAGUGCUGAUGAUCCAAGCCAAGAACAAGGAGAAGGGCACUCUCACCCCUGAAUUCUACAACAGCUCAAAGAGUACAUGGUCAAAGGGUACGUUUCACAAACUUGGUCUGCUAGCACCCAAGAAAACAAAGCAGUCUUUUUAUUCUUCUCUAGGCUGGCUGGUGGCUGUGUCUGAGGAUUUGAAGGUUGAUCUGCUGCACCCUUUAAGCCAUGCCCAGAUUGAACUUCCAGAUAUUAACAAAGUCAGAAACCAUCACCAGCAACAGAGCUUUUCCGGCGUGCCGUACGAGUUCAUAGCUAGUAAGUUUGUCUUGUCAUCAAGCCCUUCUUGGACGUGUGAUUAUAUAGUGACUGUCAUUUAUAGGAUUUUGGGAGGCUGGGGAUUUUGGAGACCAGGAGAAGAUGAAUGGACCAGUGUGGGAAGGGAUAUAAUGGAUCUUGCUUAUUAUAAAGGGCAGUUUUAUGCUGUGGACUUUGAUGGGAAUAUAAUGGUUUGUGAGAUUGCAGAGCCUGAGCAACCAAAAAUGAGGAUUGUUGUUCCGAAAGUGCCAAUGGAACCCAUGUGUGCUUCUGUUGAUCAAAGCCUUUAUCUGGUGGAAUCACAGGGGGCCUUGUUGGUGGUUCUGCGUCUUAGGCAAUGGUUCAGUUCGACAACUGAGUUUAGGGUUUUCAGUGUGCCAUUGGAGGGUUGUGGCAAGUGCUGGUGCCAUUGGUCGGAUUUGCAGGUAAAGAACUUGGGUGACAGUACCCUAUUUCUGGGACGCCAUAAUUCUUCAUUCUCUAUCGAAUGCAAGAAUAACAAGAACUUUGUAGGUUUGGGGAAUAGCAUUUGCUUCACGGUUGAUUUUUGUGAGUGUCUUGCACUUACCAAUGGAGAUAUGGACGCCAGUUAUUUUGUUUUCAAGAUGACAGACGGGAAAAUCAAGCCUUGCUUGGGCAAACGCCUCAAUUUAAGAGCGCCAUAUUUAUGGAUUCAAGCACCAUUUUAAAGCCUUAGGUGAUUGUUGUUUUUUAAAAUCUCAUCUUUGGAUAAUCAAGCCAUGUUGGGUAAAAUUGGUUGGAGAUUACAUGCUAAAGAUAAGGGUUUGUGGGCUAAAUUUUUUGAGGAUAAGUAUCUGAAAGGCUGCUCUACUUUGGAUAAUUAUCUGGAGGUUAGGAAGGAUUGUUCUGCCACUUAGAAGGGAAUUUUACAUGGCUCUAAGCGUCUUUUGCAGGGGAUGACUUGGAGAAUUGGUAUGGGGAAUAAGGUGAAGUUUUGGACUGAUAAAUGGUUGUCUGAUGUGCCUUUGAUACAUUAUGAGGGGGUGGGGGAGUUGUUGGACCUUGAUGGUCCUGUGUCAAGUUUCUUUAAGCAGGGAUGGUGGGAUAUUAAGAAGCUGAGAGCUACUGUGCCUGAAGAGGUGGUGCAAAAAGUUAUUAGUUUCUCUUCUGGGUUUAAUAGUAAUUUGGAGGAUUCCCAGAUUUGGAAGCCUAAUGCCAAUGGGAUUUUUACCGUAAAAUCUGCUUAUCAAUUGCUUUUUGGAGAUUCUUCUUGGACUGAUGCUUUUUGGAAGGCUUUGUGGCAGUUGAAACUUCCCCCCAAGUUGUAAGUUUUUAUCUGGCUUGCGUACCAGGAUAAAAUUAUUUCUAAUGAUCAGAGAGUUCGGAGGCAUUUAUCUAUGGAUUCUUCUUGUUCUUUAAAUGAUUGGCCUUCUGAAGCUGCUGUCCUUAUUCUCAGAGAUUGUAGUAAAGCCAAAGAGGUUUGGAGCUAUUUUUUGCAUCACAGUCAACACACUCAUUUCUUCUCUGCUGAUUUUUAGCAUUGUCUUAAGAAUAAUAUAUUCUCCAAGGCUCGUUGGUCUGGGAGCAUAUCUUGGAGUUCUGUAUUGUGUUUAUUUGUUGGUAUUUGUGGAAAUGGAGAAACCAAUAUAUUUUUAAUGCUGAGGAGGUUGUUCCUUCUAAUCCUAGGCAGAUUAUUCUCUCUGCUGUUUCUGAGUGGAGCAAGGCUUCUUGUGGUUGUAGGGCAGUUGGGGAGAAAGUGCAAUCUCUUUUGGCUUGGGAUUUUCCUGGGACUGCAGUGGUCAACUUAAUGUGGAUGGGUCACAUAAAGCGGCUUUUGGAAAUAUUGGUGCUGGAGGCGUUCUUCGUAAUAGCAAUGGGGAAUGGCUUGGGGGAUUUGCUGUGAAUCUGGGGAAGGGUCAAACAUCUCCUUGCUGGUCUGCUGUGUAACUGCUGUGAUUUUCUUAGGCAUUUUGACACUUACAAGAUUCACCAUAUUUUCAGAGAGAAGAAUUGCCUUGCUGACUGCCUAGCAAACUGGACUUUCAAUCUGGAUUUAGGUAUUUGUUUCUUUGACACUGCUCCUGUUUGGGCUACUGAAGCCUUGUUUGAUGAUUUGUUAGGCGUUUCUCAUGCUCGUUUGAUUGGUAUUAUAAGAGUGUAGCUGUUUUGGGGUCUUCCCCCUAUUUCAUUUAUAAAAAAAUCUCAUCUUUGGAUCAAAUUAUUUCAUGUUGCCUAUUUCUUGAGUAGUGG
RNAcentral lists this long non-coding RNA (2778 nucleotides) under Prunus dulcis (almond). RNAcentral's name for it is "sRNA ncRNA". The record is from RNAcentral. Lineage: Eukaryota; Viridiplantae; Streptophyta; Magnoliopsida; Rosales; Rosaceae.